AGUGAACGCUGGCGGUAGGCCUAACACAUGCAAGUCGAACGGCAGCACCGUAAGAGCUUGCUCUUCCGGGUGGCGAGUGGCGGACGAGUGGGGAGUACAUCGGCAUCUACUUUUUCGUGGGGGCUAACGUAGGGGACCUUACGCUAAUACCGCAUACGACCUACUGGUGAAAGCAGGGGAGCUUCGGCCCUUGCGCGAUUGAAUGCGCCGGCGGCGGAUUAGCUAGUUGGAGGGGUAGAGGCUUACCAUGGCGUUGAUCCGUAGCUGGUCUGAGAGGGUGACAGGCGACACUGGGACUGAGAGGCGGCCCAGACGCCGACGGGUGGCAGAAGGGGGGAAGACUGCACAAGGGGUGGCAGCCUGAUGAAGCAGCGCCGUGUGCGGGAUGACGGCCUUGGGGGUGAAGACCGCCUUCGGUCAUGACGAAGCUUUGUGUGACGGUAGUGGGUAAAGAAGCACCGGCUAACUACGUG
Molecule: ribosomal RNA, 473 nt
Filed under: uncultured bacterium
Lineage: Bacteria
Description: partial 16S ribosomal RNA
Rfam family: Bacterial small subunit ribosomal RNA
Source: RNAcentral